AUCGCUUCUCGGCCUUUUGGCUAAGAUCAAGUGUAGUAUCUGUUCUUAUCAGUUUAAUAUACCCUAUGAUCCUGAUUUUAUUUUUUGAAACUUUUUGUGUGUUUAUCUAGUUUUGAGAGAGAAGGGGGCAGGGCAGAGAGCGAGGGAAAAUAGAGAAUCACC
This 162-nucleotide small nuclear RNA is filed under the name Suricata suricatta (meerkat). RNAcentral's name for it is "U2 spliceosomal RNA (ENSSSUG00005018107.1)". It matches the Rfam family "U2 spliceosomal RNA". Rfam says of the family: U2 is a small nuclear RNA (snRNA) component of the spliceosome (involved in pre-mRNA splicing). The record is from Rfam by way of RNAcentral. Lineage: Eukaryota; Metazoa; Chordata; Mammalia; Carnivora; Herpestidae.